This 382-nucleotide long non-coding RNA is filed under the name Medicago truncatula (barrel medic). RNAcentral describes it as "lncRNA gene19973". Lineage: Eukaryota; Viridiplantae; Streptophyta; Magnoliopsida; Fabales; Fabaceae. The record is from RNAcentral.
CAAACCAUGGCCGCAAUCUCUGAUCAUGGAAGGAUUUCAGCGUUAGGGUUACCGCUUUUAGCCACAAUGGAAUCACGACCAAUGUUAUUACAUAUUUUAGUGUACCUUGAACAAUAGCUGUUAUAUUUACCACAUAACUUAUUAAUAUUGAAACAAUAGUAGAUCACCAAUUUGUUUAUCCUUUUGUGAUCAUCAUCAUCAUCAUCAUGCUGAUCAGCUUCAAUAUCUUUCACCGUUGAUUAGCUCUUCCUUCACCUUCAGCAGCAGCACUAUAGCCAUUGAGAAAUAAUGCCACAGCAAGGACAACUAGAAGAAUUGAAGUUUUUGCCAUAGUGUACAAUAUCACUCAGUAUUUUUAUUUUCUUCCUAUCGUUAUUGUUUU